RNAcentral lists this ribosomal RNA (428 nucleotides) under Streptomyces mutomycini. Its description in RNAcentral is "bacterial SSU rRNA". It matches the Rfam family "Bacterial small subunit ribosomal RNA", at positions 11 to 442 of the family's 1533-position model. The record is from RNAcentral. Lineage: Bacteria; Bacillati; Actinomycetota; Actinomycetes; Kitasatosporales; Streptomycetaceae.
GUUUGGAUCAUGGCUCAGGACGAACGCUGGCGGCGUGCUUAACACAUGCAAGUCGAACGAUGAAGCCCUUCGGGGUGGAUUAGUGGCGAACGGGUGAGUAACACGUGGGCAAUCUGCCCUUCACUCUGGGACAAGCCCUGGAAACGGGGUCUAAUACCGGAUAACACUCUGUCCCUCAUGGGGCGGGGUUAAAAGCUCCGGCGGUGAAGGAUGAGCCCGCGGCCUAUCAGCUUGUUGGUGGGGUAAUGGCCUACCAAGGCGACGACGGGUAGCCGGCCUGAGAGGGCGACCGGCCACACUGGGACUGAGACACGGCCCAGACUCCUACGGGAGGCAGCAGUGGGGAAUAUUGCACAAUGGGCGAAAGCCUGAUGCAGCGACGCCGCGUGAGGGAUGACGGCCUUCGGGUUGUAAACCUCUUUCAGCAG